This is a long non-coding RNA of Anopheles coustani, 906 nucleotides long. RefSeq lists it as uncharacterized. The transcript has 6 exons. Lineage: Eukaryota; Metazoa; Arthropoda; Insecta; Diptera; Culicidae. The record is from RefSeq and is a predicted model, not a curated record.
GCUGUUCUUACAUAUAUCAUCGUGCUGUACAAAAUAACGAUCAAUGUGAAGAAGACACCAUCGGUGGCGAUCGCAGUAAACAUGCCAACGAAGGGAUUGUUUAUCGGCGUGGAGUGUGAAUAUUACAUAGGUGCGGUAUGGAUACUUUGGGACGGCGACAAAUGAGUUGAUAUGUUGGUGGCAGCGGAAGGAAUCGUAUGACUAGAAACCGAAGGAACGACUGCUAGAAGGUGCGGUGUGGAUAGUUGCCGAAGAAUGAGUUGAUGUUACGGAGGAAGCGGAAGGAUUCGUACGAUUAGAAACCGAAGGAACGACUGCUAGAAGGUGCGGUGUGGAUAGUUGCCGAAGAAUGAGUUGAUGUUACGGAGGAAGCGGAAGGAUUCGUACGAUUAGAAACCGAAGGAACGACUGCUAGAAGGUGUCAAAAAAGUCGUGAAUCCACGGACAUAUGCCGAUGCAUAUUAACAAUACUCACCAAUAAAUGAAGCUGGUGUGCUACCAUCUGCUCUAACCAGAAACUCCAACUUACCGCUGGUUGGUGUAGCAUUAUCCGCAUUAGUCCGUUUUGCUGCAGAAUUAACAUACGGAGAAGCAGAUGAAGCGUGGGCCGGCGAAGGAACGGAUGCUGGAAUAUAAUCGAAAGCAAAAGGGAUUAAUGUACCUUUUCCCACUGAUUACCUGGAUAAGCCAUAAAACUACCUGGACGUGGUGCACCACUUUUCGAGGACUUCGACGGCGGGAUCUGUCCCUUUUCUUUCAACACCCGAGAAUUCAUCGUUUUAAUUAUUUACUUGUUUUAAACACAGCCACUUGAGUCAAAAUUUUAGUCCGAAUGAUUUAACCCGGCUCGUUGGUUUUUCUACCCGCCUCAUGCCGGUGCUGUACGCGUACGCUUACUUGCUCUGU